Molecule: transfer RNA, 75 nt
Filed under: Clostridium sp. AF36-4
Lineage: Bacteria; Bacillati; Bacillota; Clostridia; Eubacteriales; Clostridiaceae
Description: tRNA-Glu
Rfam family: tRNA
About the family: Transfer RNA (tRNA) molecules are approximately 80 nucleotides in length. Their secondary structure includes four short double-helical elements and three loops (D, anti-codon, and T loops).
Source: RNAcentral
GGUCCGUUGGUCAAGCGGCUAAGACACUGCCCUCUCACGGCAGAAACAGGGGUUCGAUUCCCCUACGGACUACUA